CCAACGGCUCUUUUAAGAGCCACCCACAUUUCCCAGAAAGAGCUG
This is a regulatory RNA element of Alligator mississippiensis (American alligator), 45 nucleotides long. It matches the Rfam family "Histone 3' UTR stem-loop". From Rfam's summary of the family: The mRNAs of metazoan histone genes lack a poly-A tail. 3' end processing occurs at a site between a highly conserved stem-loop (modelled by this family) and a purine rich region around 20 nts downstream (the histone downstream element, or HDE). NCBI's taxonomy places the organism in Eukaryota, Metazoa, Chordata, Crocodylia, Alligatoridae. The record is from Rfam.